This 549-nucleotide ribosomal RNA is filed under the name Staphylococcus epidermidis. RNAcentral describes it as "bacterial SSU rRNA". It matches the Rfam family "Bacterial small subunit ribosomal RNA", at positions 41 to 572 of the family's 1533-position model. The record is from RNAcentral. Lineage: Bacteria; Bacillati; Bacillota; Bacilli; Caryophanales; Staphylococcaceae.
GGCGUGCCUAAUACAUGCAAGUCGAGCGAACAGACGAGGAGCUUGCUCCUCUGACGUUAGCGGCGGACGGGUGAGUAACACGUGGAUAACCUACCUAUAAGACUGGGAUAACUUCGGGAAACCGGAGCUAAUACCGGAUAAUAUAUUGAACCGCAUGGUUCAAUAGUGAAAGACGGUUUUGCUGUCACUUAUAGAUGGAUCCGCGCCGCAUUAGCUAGUUGGUAAGGUAACGGCUUACCAAGGCAACGAUGCGUAGCCGACCUGAGAGGGUGAUCGGCCACACUGGAACUGAGACACGGUCCAGACUCCUACGGGAGGCAGCAGUAGGGAAUCUUCCGCAAUGGGCGAAAGCCUGACGGAGCAACGCCGCGUGAGUGAUGAAGGUCUUCGGAUCGUAAAACUCUGUUAUUAGGGAAGAACAAAUGUGUAAGUAACUAUGCACGUCUUGACGGUACCUAAUCAGAAAGCCACGGCUAACUACGUGCCAGCAGCCGCGGUAAUACGUAGGUGGCAAGCGUUAUCCGGAAUUAUUGGGCGUAAAGCGCGCGU